Mauremys mutica (yellowpond turtle) is the source of this 1249-nucleotide long non-coding RNA. RefSeq lists it as uncharacterized. The record is from RefSeq and is a predicted model, not a curated record. The transcript is spliced from 4 exons. Lineage: Eukaryota; Metazoa; Chordata; Testudines; Geoemydidae.
GGAGGAAGGAAGGCACAAGAGACAUAACAGGCAGGCAGGAGAAAAGCAUCCCGACCAUUGCAUGGCAGGUGUGAAAGAAGUCUUUAGAAGAAACUAUAUAAUGAGUAAAGCAUUCACAACCCAACAAUACUAAAUGGACUAAACGCAGGGAGUUUUAUUGAAAUCCCCACUUAUGGGGAAUGACUGUUGUGAUGGAGUAACAUGGAGGACCGAAGUUUGCAGCAAUUUGUCUCCUCAGCAAUCCCUCCAAACUCAGUGGUAUCAACUGCUGCUGAACUUGACACUUAUCUGGAAGGAGAGGACCCACAAGACAGAUUUACAUCAAGACUAGCUGGCCAUGUGGUGAUGGGGCAUUAAGGAGAAUCAACUCUUUCAGAGGACACCUCAGAGAGCGUAUGGACAGUGGAGGCCCAGUAACUCAUCAGGGCAUGUAGAACAUGUGAUCCCUGGGUCCAUGUUUGAGACAGUAACUUUCCAUGCACAUGGACAGGUGGAUAUAAAUUGUAGACUGUGAUAUCAUCUCCUUUCUUCAUUCCUGCUCCACAUCUCUGGACUUCUAACAAAGGGAACUUUGAACAAUGGACAGAGGACUUUUUUGGAUGUACCUACCAGAGAAAUUUCUUCUAAACUGGCAGAUUUAAGAUCACUAUUAUCCUGAUCUACAGACUCUGAAAUCAACUGUAACAUAUAUGAUUCACUUUAAUGGUUUAGUAACUCUCUUCUCUUCCUUUUUUAUUAAUACAUUUUUAGUUAGUUUACUAAAGGAUUGGCUGCAGCGUGGAAUUUGAUGAGAUCCUGAAGUACAUAUUGACUUGGGGUGAAUCGGUUCUUUGGUACUUGAAGAACCUAAUAUAUGUGAUUUCUGGUUUUAAUAAUCAUUUAUCACAGAAGUCUGGUUUGUCUGGAUGGUGCAUGAGGAGCUAGAGGCCUUGAAGGGGGCUGUCUGUGGCUUCAUAAUAACGAGUAUUGUAUUUUGGAAGCACACAUUUGUUACUGGUUUGGUGAAAUCUUAUAAUAGAGUAUACCACCUCUCUGGGGUAUAUGCCCUGUAUUCUGGCAGGCUGACCUGAGAUGGGCAUGUUAAGCUGUUUCCCAUACCACGCAGCGUGAUAGAUACCAUCUGACUUAAGCAGCUAGCCAACAAAGCACACAUUUGGAAUUGUAUAUUCCAUUGCAGUAUUCCCUAUACGCUUGUUUGGUUACUUAUAUAGUCACAUGGUAUUUUUUCUGCUUCCUGAAAGGAUGACUU